GCCAACUACAAAAAAGAAGAGGGCGUCACAGCAGAGAAGCAAAAUAGAAAGAAGUUCAUCAGAUAGACAGUCAGGUGGAGAAGACAGAGGCAGAUAAAAAGAACCCAGUCAAUCAUGAAGAAAGUCGUGAAGAAAGCCCCCGUAAAGAUGCCAGAGAUUCAGACUUCGAGAUUAGUUCAAGGUGAAGAUGGUGUAUCGGAGUGUGCCUUGACACUCCAGAUCAUCGGGGAUCUCUUAAACUAUGAAUACCAGUUUUUGAGAAAUCGCGGAAAGAAGUGAAAGUGUCAAGUUGGAGGAAGAAGAAGACACUUUACCCGAUGUCCAGGUGGGCCAGACAGAUGACCUGCUCUGUCCGAACGCUUUUGAGCAGACGGAAUGGAAGACCAUGCAUAUGGGACUUGCUCAGAGCAUUCUUGGUCGA
Molecule: long non-coding RNA, 421 nt
Organism: Erpetoichthys calabaricus (reedfish)
Lineage: Eukaryota; Metazoa; Chordata; Cladistia; Polypteriformes; Polypteridae
Exons: 2
Source: RefSeq, a predicted model, not a curated record